Drosophila virilis is the source of this 4552-nucleotide non-coding RNA. The record is from RefSeq and is a predicted model, not a curated record. NCBI's taxonomy places the organism in Eukaryota, Metazoa, Arthropoda, Insecta, Diptera, Drosophilidae.
CACUGCUACAUCACUGGUGUGCGCGCUGCCCUGCAGUUGGUUUGUUCUCUGACAAAAUUGUGUAAAACUUGUUAUUUUGUUGAAAAUACAUAAAUAGUUUAUAAUGGCAUCCAUACUGCGCACGGGCAAGCUGUUGCGUUACUUUGCUGGCUUCACGCGCAACGUUGUCGUCAACUCGGUGCGCGACUGCGAGAGCAACAAUCUGCUGCAAUCGGCGCCCUGCAUGUGCGGACAGUUCCAGAACGGUUUUGCUAGCAAUGCUGCUGCCACGAAGGCGGAGCACAGUCUGGACAGGCAGAUACGUCGCUUGGAUCAGGAUGCGCGUCGCGUGGGUCGCAUCUCACGGCGGGAUUUGGAGGAGGUGCUCGACGAGAUUCGCACACAUCGCACGGCGACCAGCUCACAGUCGCUGCUAGUCAUACGCUGUUGCGGAAAUCUGGUGCCGGAGGAGCUGCCCGAGGUGCGCACCGCACUGGUCCAGGAGAUUUGGAAGACCCUAAAUGCCCUGAAUGUGCCCAUGGACAUAUCGCACUACAAUGCACUGUUGCGUGUCUAUCUGGAGAACGAGCAUCAGUUUGCGCCCACCGAUUUUCUCGCCGAGAUCGAAGCCAAAGGCAUUGAACCGAAUCGCGUGACCUACCAGCGUCUGAUCGCGCGCUAUUGCCAGCAGGGUGACAUUGAAGGCGCCACACGCAUCCUGGAGUACAUGCGCGGCAAGAGCCUGCCGGUCAACGAGAACGUCUUCAACUCCCUGAUACUGGGACACUCGCAGGCCAACGAUCUGGAGUCCGCGAAGGGCAUUCUGGGCGUGAUGAAGCAGGCGGGCUUGGAGCCCAGCGCCGAUACCUACACGACGCUCUUGUGCGCUUUUGCGCGCCAUGGCGAUAUCGAGGCCUUGCAGUCGACGCUCGCCGAAUGCGAGCCCAAGGAGAUCAUAUUGCUGGACAAGGAUCUGCUGGAUAUUGUGUACACGCUGACGGUGCACGGGCAUGGCGAGCAUGUGGACGCGCUGCUGGGCAAGCUGCGCAUCUCGCCGGGCUUCAAUCAGGAUGCAGUCAAUAUCAUAUUGCGCCUGGUCAACAAGGGCUACGAGGAUGUGGCCCUGAAGCUGCUCCGUUUGAUGCCACGCGGCACCCGCGUCAAUGGCGAGCCCGUCGACGUGGGCGCCUUCUUCAUACGCCAGCUGGUCAAGGCCAAUCGGCCGGUGGAGAAAAUCCUCAGCAUUUGCCGCACGCUGCAGGCGGAGGGCCUCAAUCCCAAGGCGUUGACCAUUGCCACCGAGGCGGGUCUCACCAAUGGCGUGAUGAACAAUGCCCUGCCGCUGCUACAGGAGAUGAAGCAGCUGGGCUUGCCCAUACGCCAGCAUUAUUUCUGGCCAUUGUUCUGCUCCGUGGAGUCCAACCAGGUGCUGGACGUUGUGCGUCGCAUGCAGCAGGAGUUUGCCUUGAAUCCCAAUUCGGAAACGGUGCGCGACUAUAUCAUACCCAAUCUCAAGGAGAAGAACUGGGAGCGAGUUGUCACCGUGCUGCGCGAUGCGGGCGUGGCCAACUCCACGGCCGUCACCUCGGCCGUCUACGCAGCGCUGACCACGCAUCAGAUAGCGGAUGCUGCCCGGAUCAUGGAGGCGCAUCGUGCCUACUAUAUGCCCGUGAUCUUUCGCCAGCCGCUCAUCCUGGCGCUGAGCAACACCAACGAUUUCGCCUCCUUCAUACGUUGUGUGCGCCAAAUGCACGAGGGCAUGCAGCUGCGCGCCGGCAAGGAGGCGGCGGAGGAGGGAGAGCGCGUCGCUAGCGAUGCAGAGGCCGAUGCCACGCCCGAACGCAAUACGAUCGAUGUGGUGGGCACCAUUGUCCACGAUGCGGCCAUCUAUUUCCGGCGCGAACGCGUGCCCGUGCUGGAGAAAAUCUUGCAGGGCCUGGUCAAGCAGGGUCUGUCCAUAAGCAGCGCCAAGGCGACCGCCUUGUCCGAACUGUUGGGCUCUGAGAUGACGCCCAAGAUUGCCGAGGAGCUGGGCAAGCUCAGUUCGGGUGAACUGGAGCCCAUUCCAUUGCCCAAUAGCGGCAAACGCGCCUUGGACACGUUGACCGUUGAUGAACUGGAACGCUUCAUCAAGAAUGUGGAGGCCAAGGGCGAUAAUGCCAACAACAUUAAGCGUCAGCUGCUGAAUGCCUGCUUCCGUUCGCAGAACCUCGAGAAGACGCUGCAGGUGAUCGAGCGUCUCGAGCAGGAUAAAUUCCAGAUACCCAUCGGCAUCUUUGCACAGCUCAUUGAUCUGUACACAUUUCACAAGCGCAGCUCCGAUGCACUGAACCAGUACAACAAGUUGCGCCAAGCGGACCCCAACUUCAAGCUGGACAACUUUAAGGCGGUGCGGCUCGCGGAUCUGUUGCUGCAGGAGGAGCGUGAGCAGGAGGCGCUGCAGCUGCUGCAGGAGAAUCAAAAGGAGGCGCCCCACAACGAGGGCGAGGGCAGCUUUAACUACACGAGCACCGUGUGGCGCAUACUCAAUGCCAUUGCCGAAACGGGCGAUGCGGAGAAACUGAAGCGCAUCUUCGAUGCCCUUGUCGCGGGCAACUAUGUGGUGCCCACCAAUGUGGUGCUGGGUCCGUUGAUUAAGGUGCAUUUGGCCCGCGAUGAUAUACCCAAGGCGAUUGAUGCCUUCGAGCAGAUAUGCCAGCAGCACAAGGCGACGCCGUGGAAGAACGAGCUCGCCUGCCGCCUCAUCCAGAAGGAGGAUGCGGCGAAUCUGCAGCGUCUCACAGAUCUGAGCACCAGCAUACACGGCGAGGUCAACAGCCUGUACGAUCUGGUGUUCUCCUUUGUGGAGUGCGGUCGGGUGCGACAGGCGCGCAAGAUUCUGGAGACGCCUGGACUGCGCACCAGGCCGCAGCGCAUCAGCAACGCCUGCGAUCGCUACAAGAACGAGGGCAUGCUCCAGCCGCUGGAGGGUCUGAUUGAGGCAACAAAGGAUCUGGGUCACAUUGAUCGCAAUAAGAUUUACUACACGCUGCUGCUCAGCUAUGACAAGGCGGACGAGACGGAAAAGGCGCUGGGUCUGUGGACCAAAAUGCAAGAGGAGGCUCUCACGCCCACAGAUGCGUUCCUGCUCAAGCUGGCCGAUUUGCUGCAGCGCAAGAAUAUCGAGGUGCCGUUUGUGGUGCCCGAAACGCAGCAGUCCAAGAGCAGACGCCUCAAGGCAGCCAAAACGGAGCAGGCAGCGGCCAAGCAGGAGCUGAAGGACGAGUCCAAUGUGUCUGGACAGGAGCCCAAGCUGGGCGCAGCAGCAGCUGCAACAGCAGCGCCUAAGUCGAUCUCCAACGUGACCAGCUUUCGUCGUGCCAUUCAGCACAAUGAUCUGGAUGCCGCCAUUGACUACCGAAAGCGUUUCACAAGCGCCGAAAAGUUCGGCGUGAUGGACACCUCGCGGCUCAUUGAGCUGCUCGUCCGCGCCGAUCGUCUGACGGAGGCCAGCAAAUAUGUCGAUGAGCUGCUGGCAAACAAGCAGCAUCCGCAGCCAAAGAUAUUCAAAUACUAUUUGAAUAAAAUUGCCGCCUCGGGCGAUGUGGAGGCGCUGCAGCGCAUUGGCCAGCAGCUCAACGAUGAACAGAAGCGUCUUGUGUCCUUUGAUAAUCGCUAUUGCCACGCCUACAUUGUUGCCGGCAAGUCCGAGCAAUAUCUGAAGCAGCUGAGCACAGAGAUUGAGGCGGCCAAGUCGCCCGAGGAGGCCGCCAAGUUAGCCGAAAAGUUUCCGCGCGGCGGCGCCGUAGGCAUCCUGGAGAAGCAUCCCGAACUGGCGGCGCAAUACGAGUCGCUGGCCGAGAAGUACGCGGCCCUCAAUCAACUUGGGCCCAUGAACGUGCUGUGGAUGCACUUGAUAUCGACCGGUCAGGAGCCGGCCUCCAAGCAAAUCUGGGAUAAGUAUUUGUCCAGUGCGCCGCGUCUGAUGUUCCAGCGUGUGCUGCAAACGGCGCGCGAACAGCAGGACGAGAAGUUGGCUGCGACGGUCAUUUCACAGCUGCGCGGCAGCAAAAUAUCGGAGGGUGCCAUCGGCAAUGCCUACUCCUGUCUGCUGGACAUACAAACGAACAAGGGCAACACGGACAAGGCUCUGGAGGUGCUCUCGAAUGCCAUCAAGGAUGUGUCACUGGAGCACAUCAAUCGCACCGCGCUGCUGCGUCUCAAGCAGGCCGUUGAGGCCAAGUCACAAACGUUUCCGUACACGGUGCCCGAGAAGCGCACCAAUGCCAACGAAUCCAGCUCCUCCAGCAGCAGCAGCAGCAGCGAUGAUGACGAUGUGGCGCCCAAGCGACCGGAAACGAUGCCAACCAAGCCGGAACAGGCUUAGAGGGCGUUUAAUAAAAGAGACGUUCACACUUGCUUAGCUUAAACCUAAUCUUAUGACUAUAUACCCAAACUUGUUUUACAAUUUGGAAAAAGCCUUUUCAGCCGGAACAAAUCCAAUAUCUACACAUACACACACAUGCUACUAAGUGAGAAAAAAAAAAAACACAAAAACAAUGGAAUGGCAACAGUCAAUCGAUGCACAUCUGAA